Bos taurus (domestic cattle) is the source of this 942-nucleotide long non-coding RNA. Lineage: Eukaryota; Metazoa; Chordata; Mammalia; Artiodactyla; Bovidae. The record is from Ensembl.
CUCCCGGGGCCCUGCCUGGCGCUUCGUCCCGGCCUGAGGCCCAUACAAGGCGCUUCCUUCCCGCCGCGUCUGGCAGGCGGCCCGCAGGCGGCUGUGGGCGGGAGCUCGGCCCUCCGGGUCCGCCCGCGCCCGGGAGCCCGCGGCCAGGGGACUCUGCCAAGGAGGGGGCGGCGGCGGCGGCGGGGCCGGGAACGCGUGGCCUGGCCGGGCUGAGGAAACGGCAACCCCUCCCGGCAACCCCUCCCGGCCCUCGUACAGCGCCUCCAGGGACUUAAACUUGCCUCAGCCACGUGAUUACCCUGAUCUGCCUGCUGAGAGAUGAGCAAAGGUGGAGAGGGACUAGAUCUCAGCAGAGACAGCAGUUCCUGAGCGCCCACCCCCCAGCGCUUCCAGAAAUGCAAUGCAACAUGGACCAGCCUGUGAGCAUUUGCUCCUCCUCAGCAGCAGCAGCAGCAGCAGCAGCAGCGUUUCCUUCCGGCUGCCAGCUACCACCCCCUUCUGCUCCAGGCUGAGGGCAGGACAAGGUUUCCUUUGGGUGAGGAUGAAGAAUCAAGCAGAAGGGGCUGAGCCCAGGCAGGGUUUCUCACCAAAGUGGACAAGCCAGAAGUCUGACUGUAAGGGAAACCUAGAUGGUGCUAACAUGGAACCCUGGAGGCUGGAGAAGCAAGUUAAUCUAUACACUCAAGCCAACCCUGACUCACAGGGAAGUGACUUCAAAACAACUUUCAUAACUCCACCUGGAUGCUGGCCACCUUUCCCUUCUCAGCUCUGUCUUUGGCUUCGUGCCACUCCCUUAUUCUCUGAUCCUCCCUUUUCUUAUCUCUAACGAGGAGAAGGGGCCUAGAUGAAAAAUAACAAGAUCCCACGUUUGGUAAGAGCACUGAAUUUGGAGCUGUAACAGCUGCUCAUGUUGGCUCUCCUCAUUUCCUGCAUGAGCUUGAC